GCUAUUUAUUCGUAUUAUUUGAUUGCGUUUAAAACGCCUCAGUUUAAAAGUGUAUAACACCAUUUUCUACAUUUGAAAAUGCCUGUACCAAGUCAGGAUUAUGACAGUUGUUGUCCAUUCGUUUUUGAUGUGUUUUGUCAUUUGAUUUUGCCAUGUAAUUAGGGACUUUACGAUUUGAUUUUCCUCUGAGUUCAGUAUUUUUGUGAUUUUACUUUUGACAAGUGGGCGUUACAGACGAACGUACACAUAAUCUGACCCAGUCAAUUGAUAACCUGAGCGGACCAACAUAUGUUCUUUUACACGCUGCUUUGAAAAUGAUUCUAUGUCAAUCAGUAAAAAAAAUAUAAAUUAAAAAAAUGUAAACCCCAUCAUUAUGAAAAAUGGUAUUUAUUUAAGAUACUGUACGCUCGUAUGGCUGAUUAUGCAUAAUUUGGUUGUUCAAUUUCUUCUCAACUAUUAAAAAGGAUGAUAGAAAAAAUCUUCAACUAUAUUGAGUUGAAACAGAUAACAUUAAUUUGGACAAUUGUUUUAACGUCGUAUGAAUGCAAUAACAGUAACCAUCUGUAUAUGUUAAAAACACGCUAAAUGUAAGCAUUAAAAGUUUUAAAAAAAUCUGUUUAAUGUCAAGUUUAAUAAAUCUAGUGUGUUCGCUUUCUGUAGAGUCGCGUAUUUCACUGAUUCGUCUAUUUUAAUCCACAACAAUGAUGAUGUCGCAUAACAGUAAGUCAUGUGAUUUCCCGUAUAUACCAGAUUGGUUACAGUUUUAAUCAUCAGAAUUUAUAUGCCAACCAGUACCAUUACUUACCCUAAAGAUUCACAGGAUACACGCA
This 830-nucleotide long non-coding RNA is filed under the name Mytilus galloprovincialis (Mediterranean mussel). Lineage: Eukaryota; Metazoa; Mollusca; Bivalvia; Mytilida; Mytilidae. The record is from RNAcentral.